This 442-nucleotide ribosomal RNA is filed under the name uncultured bacterium. RNAcentral's name for it is "partial 16S ribosomal RNA". It matches the Rfam family "Bacterial small subunit ribosomal RNA", at positions 338 to 795 of the family's 1533-position model. The record is from RNAcentral.
CCUACGGGUGGCAGCAGUGGGGAAUAUUGGGCAAUGGGCGAAAGCCUGACCCAGCAACGCCGCUUGCAUUCCUCCUUCUUUCUUUUUUUCCCCUUCUUUUUCCCUUUCCUCUCAGAAGACGGUACCUGUCGAAUAAGCCACGGCUAACUACGUGCCAGCAGCCGCGGUAAUACGUAGGUGUCAAGCGUUGUCCGUGUUGACUGGGUGUAACGUCCUUGGAGCCGGGCUGACAAGUCAGAUGUGAAAUCCGGGGGCUCAACCCCCGAACUGCAGUUGAAACUGUUGGUCUUGAGUAUCGGAGAGGCAGGCGGAAUUCAUGGUGUAGAGGUGAAAUGCGUAGAUAUUAGGAGGAACACCAGUGGCGAAGGCGGCCUGCUGGACGACAAAUGAAGGUGAGGCGCGAAAGAGUGGGGAGCAAACAGGAGUAGAGAAAAAAGUAGUC